This 484-nucleotide long non-coding RNA is filed under the name Ficedula albicollis (Collared flycatcher). RNAcentral describes it as "lncRNA (ENSFALG00000025039.1)". Lineage: Eukaryota; Metazoa; Chordata; Aves; Passeriformes; Muscicapidae. The record is from RNAcentral.
ACUUUUUCAGGUUAAACAUGUGAUUUGAAAUUUUGAUCUUUAAUAUUAAUGCUGACCACUAGCAUGACAGAUAUGAGUAAAAAGAAAGUUCCAAGUUUAAUUUUCCAAAACUGAAUUUACCCAAAGGGAUGGGAAAACACACAGAAAAGAUCUCUCCCUGGGCAUCAUCUCUCCCAUCAUGUUGGCUGCCUUCAGGAGUCUGCUUCAUUGCAGCAAAAUGAAACAGAUCAGCACCAUAGUUACUGUUUUUUAAGUGACUUCCAAGAAUUUUCUUAUCAGGAUUAAAAUGAAGCAAAUUACAUAAUGCUAUGGAGCCUGGAUCCAGCAACUCUUGAGGCUGCCAGAAACAUCAGCUGUGGAAUACAGAUGGGCUGUAUUAGCAUCUUCUUUGUGGAUCUCUUCCUUCCUCUGACUAAAAACCUGAUCUGUGGAGAGGAGCUCCAGCAUUAACACUGCACUCACAGUUCCAAGGAUUUGGUUGUCU